GAUGAACGCUGACAGAAUGCUUAACACAUGCAAGUCAACUGGAAUUUGGGUUUUUAACUUAGGUUUGGGUGGCGGACGGGUGAGUAACGCGUAAAGAACUUGCCUCACAGCUAGGGACAACAUUUGGAAACGAAUGCUAAUACCUAAUAUUAUGAUAGUAGGGCAUCCUAUAAUUAUGAAAGCUAUAAGCGCUGUGAGAGAGCUUUGCGUCCCAUUAGCUAGUUGGAGAGGUAACGGCGCACCAAGGCGAUGAUGGGUAGCCGGCCUGAGAGGGUGAUCGGCCACAAGGGGACUGAGACACGGCCCUUACGCAUACGGGAGGCAGGAGUGGGGAAUAUUGGACAAUGGACCGAGAGUCUGAUGCAGCAAUUCUGUGUGCACGAUGAAGUUUUUCGGAAUGUAAAGUGCUUUCAGUUGGGAAGAAACAAAUGACGGUACCAACAGAAGAAGUGACGGCUAAAUACGUG
This 467-nucleotide ribosomal RNA is filed under the name uncultured bacterium. RNAcentral's name for it is "partial 16S ribosomal RNA". It matches the Rfam family "Bacterial small subunit ribosomal RNA", at positions 28 to 507 of the family's 1533-position model. The record is from RNAcentral.